This 788-nucleotide ribosomal RNA is filed under the name Pseudomonas koreensis. RNAcentral's name for it is "bacterial SSU rRNA". It matches the Rfam family "Bacterial small subunit ribosomal RNA", at positions 164 to 945 of the family's 1533-position model. Lineage: Bacteria; Pseudomonadati; Pseudomonadota; Gammaproteobacteria; Pseudomonadales; Pseudomonadaceae. The record is from RNAcentral.
UAGUACCGCAUACGUCCUACCGGAGAAAGCAGGGGACCUUCGGGCCUUGCGCUAUCAGAUGAGCCUAGGUCGGAUUAGCUAGUUGGUGAGGUAAUGGCUCACCAAGGGGACGAUCCGUAACUGGUCUGAGAGGAUGAUCAGUCACACUGGAACUGAGACACGGUCCAGACUCCUACGGGAGGCAGCAGUGGGGAAUAUUGGACAAUGGGCGAAAGCCUGAUCCAGCCAUGCCGCGUGUGUGAAGAAGGUCUUCGGAUUGUAAAGCACUUUAAGUUGGGAGGAAGGGUUGUAGAUUAAUACUCUGCAAUUUUGACGUUACCGACAGAAUAAGCACCGGCUAACUCUGUGCCAGCAGCCGCGGUAAUACAGAGGGUGCAAGCGUUAAUCGGAAUUACUGGGCGUAAAGCGCGCGUAGGUGGUUUGUUAAGUUGGAUGUGAAAUCCCCGGGCUCAACCUGGGAACUGCAUCCAAAACUGGCAAGCUAGAGUAUGGUAGAGGGUGGUGGAAUUUCCUGUGUAGCGGUGAAAUGCGUAGAUAUAGGAAGGAACACCAGUGGCGAAGGCGACCACCUGGACUGAUACUGACACUGAGGUGCGAAAGCGUGGGGAGCAAACAGGAUUAGAUACCCUGGUAGUCCACGCCGUAAACGAUGUCAACUAGCCGUUGGGGAGCCUUGAGCUCUUAGUGGCGCAGCUAACGCAUUAAGUUGACCGCCUGGGGAGUACGGCCGCAGGUUAAAACUCAAAUGAUUGACGGGGGGCCCGCAACAGCGGGUGGAGACAUGUGGU